AUGUACAUCUUUUCAAGCUGUACAGGGAGUGCACAGUUUCUAACUCAGGACUUUCUAUGCAAACUUCUACAGUUUCACCAUGAUUUAUAUGGGAACGAAAGGAAUUUCCUUUUGAAAAAUAAUAUAGACAUCAUUUGUGUUCUGCAGGUUUAUUCAUACAAUCCUCCGUUUACUGUCUUCUCUUUCAUUUACAGCCAUAUCUUUCUUUCAGUGAGGACUGUGUCUCAGACUGCUGCUUCCUUCCACUGCCUGGCUCACAAGAACACCCAUUUCUGUGCCCAUGUUAUUGCACAGACAAGAAGACUUUAUUCUGUCUGUGUGCUGUAAAAGAAAUGCAGAUUCAGAAUUGCAGAAGUGGUGAGAAGAAAAAGCAAAUGUCAAAUAGUGCAGAGAGACAGAAACUAAUAUUAAACUUUCAGGUAGAGUAUUUUUUGUGUACUAACUUCUUGUGUAUAUCAACCUAAGAAAUGUUAAAAUACAUAAGCACGAGUACCUUAAUUCAUGACUAUGAACUGCUUUUUUCUGUAAAGGAAAAUAGUUUCUGUCUCUGAAGUCUAAAGAACCUCUCAGGAUGCUCCAUUUUGUUGAGGUCUAUCAGCAGUUCCUAACUUAACAAAAGCACAAUACAGUGAACUUCUUCAUCAAUAGUUAAUGCUAACUUAGUGAAACACACAUUAAAAGCCAAACUCAUUCUUUCUUGAUCUAUUUGUAUCUACCUCUGCAGCUCUCAGUAUGAAAAAAUAGCACAUAUAGAUAAAAUUAACUUUGCUGCACAUAAACAAAUUUUCUCUAACCUCAGGUGCUGUUUAAGCAUGACAACAUUGAUCAUUUUUAAAUAUUCACAUUACAGUGUUUUUACAGAAGAUUAAUUUGGGUUAAAACAGAAUACGAAACAAUUGUAUUUUCCAUAUAAAACAGCUUCCAGGCAUACUCAUUUUAUUUCUAGGUAAAAAAUGUAUAAGGAAAACCACAAUAAGGCAGCAUACAGCAAGUCUCCUUUACAGCAGUAUAAUGGAAAACAAAACAAAGACUAUCUGUAGGCUUUAGCCAGUAUGUUUAUGUAUAACAUGAGAUCACUUCAGUAUCACAGCCCUUCAUGCUGGUUUUCCUAGUUUGCUAGCACACAAAGCAUCACUGUGGAACACAGCCUUGUGAAAGCCAUUUAUCAGCACAGGAGGGAUGGAAGGUGCUUAGAAUCGGUGAGCAAAGGUUUACUGAGGGCAAUCAUGGUUUUCCAACCUGAUUGCGUUCCUUUUCCUUUGUGUAGGAAGUGGGAGAAAUCGAUGCCCAAAGAGGUUGUGGAUGCCCCAUCCCUGGAAGUGUUCAAGGCCAGAUUGGAUGGAAUCCUGGGCAGCCUGGUCUAGUAAUAAAUAUGGAGGUUGGCAGCCCUGCUUGUGGCA
Molecule: long non-coding RNA, 1400 nt
Organism: Coturnix japonica (Japanese quail)
Lineage: Eukaryota; Metazoa; Chordata; Aves; Galliformes; Phasianidae
Source: Ensembl